AACGAACGCUGGCGGCAUGCCUAACACAUGCAAGUCGAACGAGACCUUCGGGUCUAGUGGCGCACGGGUGCGUAACGCGUGGGAACCUGCCCUUAGGUUCGGAAUAACUCCCCGAAAGGGGUGCUAAUACCGGAUAAUGUCUUCGGACCAAAGAUUUAUCGCCUUUGGAUGGGCCCGCGUUGGAUUAGCUAGUUGGUAGGGUAAAAGCCUACCAAGGCGACGAUGCAUAGCUGGUCUGAGAGGAUGAUCAGCCACACUGGGAAUGAGACACGGCCCAGACUCGUACGGGAGGCAGCAGUGGGGAAUAUUGGACAAUGGGCGAAAGCCUGAUCCAGCAAUGCCGCGUGAGUGAUGAAGGCCUUAGGGUUGUAAAGCUCUUUUAGCCGGGAUGAUAAUGACAGUACCGGGAGAAUAAGCUCCGGCUAACUCCGUG
RNAcentral lists this ribosomal RNA (433 nucleotides) under uncultured bacterium. Its description in RNAcentral is "partial 16S ribosomal RNA". It matches the Rfam family "Bacterial small subunit ribosomal RNA", at positions 29 to 507 of the family's 1533-position model. The record is from RNAcentral.